This 103-nucleotide microRNA precursor is filed under the name Marmota monax (woodchuck). The record is from RNAcentral. Lineage: Eukaryota; Metazoa; Chordata; Mammalia; Rodentia; Sciuridae.
AGUGUGAUAACUGGGUCAAAUGGUGGUUUAAUUCCAAACUUUCAAAGGAAUCUCCAGAUUACUUUCCACAGUGGUUGCAACAAUUUGCAGUCCCACCAGUAAU